AAGACUGGGAUAACUCCGGGAAACCGGAGCUAAUACCGGAUAGUUCCUUGAACCGCAUGGUUCAAGGAUGAAAGACGGUUUCGGCUGUCACUUACAGAUGGACCCGCGGCGCAUUAGCUAGUUGGUGGGGUAAUGGCUCACCAAGGCGACGAUGCGUAGCCGACCUGAGAGGGUGAUCGGCCACACUGGGACUGAGACACGGCCCAGACUCCUACGGGAGGCAGCAGUAGGGAAUCUUCCGCAAUGGACGAAAGUCUGACGGAGCAACGCCGCGUGAGUGAUGAAGGUUUUCGGAUCGUAAAGCUCUGUUGUUAGGGAAGAACAAGUGCGAGAGUAACUGCUCGCACCUUGACGGUACCUAACCAGAAAGCCACGGCUAACUACGUGCCAGCAGCCGCGGUAAUACGUAGGUGGCAAGCGNUUGUCCGGAAUUAUUNGGGNCGUAAAGGGCNUCGCAGGCGGUUUCUUAAGUCUGAUGUGAAAGCCCCCGNGCUCAACCGGGGAGGGUCAUUGGAAACUGGGAAACUUGAGUGCAGAAGAGGAGAGUGGAAUUCCACGUGUAGCGGUGAAAUGCGUAGAGAUGUGGAGGAACACCAGUGGCGAANGGCGACUCUCUGGUCUGUAACUGACGCUGAGGAGCGAAAGCGUGGGGAGCGAACAGGAUUAGAUACCCNUGGUAGUCCACGCCGUAAACGAUGAGUGCUAAGUGUUAGGGGGUUUCCGCCCCUUAGUGCUGCAGCUAACGCAUUAAGCACUCCGCCUGGGGAGUACGGUCGCAAGACUGAAACUNCAAAGGAAUUGACNGGGGGNCCCGCNACAAGCGGUGGNAGCAUGUGGUUUAAUUCGAAGCAACGCGAAGAACCUUNACCAGGNUCUUGACANUCCUCUGNANCAACCCUAGANGAUAGNGGCNUUUCCCNUUNCGGGGACNAGAGUGACAGGNUGGUGCNANUGGUUGUCGNUCANGCUCGUGUNCGUGAGANUGUUGGGUUAAGUCCCGCAACGANGCGCAACCCUUGAUCNUUAGUUGCCAGCNAUUCAGUUGGGCACUCUAAGGUGACUGCCGGUGA
Molecule: ribosomal RNA, 1070 nt
Filed under: uncultured Bacillus sp.
Lineage: Bacteria; Bacillati; Bacillota; Bacilli; Caryophanales; Bacillaceae
Description: partial 16S ribosomal RNA
Rfam family: Bacterial small subunit ribosomal RNA
Source: RNAcentral